This 330-nucleotide long non-coding RNA is filed under the name Bos taurus (domestic cattle). RNAcentral describes it as "long non-coding RNA NONBTAT001597". The record is from RNAcentral. Lineage: Eukaryota; Metazoa; Chordata; Mammalia; Artiodactyla; Bovidae.
GUGUGGCCAAAGGAAAAAAAAAAGAAAGAAAUUAACACUAAAGUCAAGUCUGAGUGGGGUGGAUAGAGUAAUAGAGUUCAGGAAAAUCUAAAAAGCAUUUGCUUUUCUUUUUUUUUUUUAAGCUUGGGAUUAAUAAGUAGUACAUGAUGCUUUCUUUAGGGAAAAAAAGUGAGGGGCUGAGAUCUGCAAUAGAAAAUUAAUUUGUAAGCGAACUCCUGGAAAACCCAUCACUCAUCUGUAAUUUGGUUAUUUUUUCUAUUUUUCUCAGUUGCAUUAUUCCUCUUCAGUUUAGUUACAUGCCCUUGGAUCCCUCUUCAUAGUUUUUCUUCA